RNAcentral lists this ribosomal RNA (453 nucleotides) under uncultured Porphyromonadaceae bacterium. Its description in RNAcentral is "partial 16S ribosomal RNA". It matches the Rfam family "Bacterial small subunit ribosomal RNA", at positions 341 to 792 of the family's 1533-position model. Lineage: Bacteria; Pseudomonadati; Bacteroidota; Bacteroidia; Bacteroidales; Porphyromonadaceae. The record is from RNAcentral.
ACGGAAGGCAGCAGUGAGGAAUAUUGGUCAAUGGGCGAAAGCCUGAACCAGCCAAGUCGCGUGAAGGAUGAAGGUAUUAUGUAUUGUAAACUUCUUUAGCAGCAGAGUAAUAAGGGGGUCGUGACCUCCGAUGCAAGUAUGCUGAAAAUAAGGAUCGGCUAACUCCGUGCCAGCAGCCGCGGUAAUACGGAGGAUCCGAGCGUUAUCCGGAUUUAUUGGGUUUAAAGGGUGCGCAGGCGGUUUUUUAAGUCAGUGGUUAAAUCGUUAGGCUCAACCUCAUCACGCCAUUGAUACUGGAAGACUUGAUUGCGGUUGAGGUUGGCGGAAUUCGUCGUGUAGCGGUGAAAUGCAUAGAUAUGACGAAGAACACCGAUUGCGUAGGCAGCUGACCAAGCCGUAAAUGACGCUCAUGCACGAAAGUGCGGGGAUCGAACAGGAUUAGAUACCCUGGUA